RNAcentral lists this long non-coding RNA (2027 nucleotides) under Homo sapiens (human). Its description in RNAcentral is "HSALNT0230675". Lineage: Eukaryota; Metazoa; Chordata; Mammalia; Primates; Hominidae. The record is from RNAcentral.
CUUGGGUAGUUCUCACUAGCUUAUCCCAGCACUUCAAAACCAUCCCGCCUUUUGUUUCAGGAGAGUUAAGUUCAAUCUCUCUCCCCUACUGCAACUACCUUGAGUAAAGUCUUCCUGCCAUUUCUCUUGGAUGGUACCCACCUCGGGAGCUUGUUUCUUCUUCCCCUGCCUCCGCUCCAGCCACUCCAGCACACAGGCCCAAAUGGAUUAAGAUAAGGGCUUUGGACCAGAGAAAUAUGCCUGUGCAAAGGCCCUGUGACAAGCGGGAGGCAUGGCACUAACAACAGAAGGCAAGGGUGACUAGAGUACCAGAGGCAAAGAGGCAAUGGUACAGAGGUGGCCAGAGGCCAGGCCAUCCAGGAACUUGGUAGCCACAGGUUCUGCUCAGACUGGGAAGGGAAAGGGAGCAAAGGAAAACAAUAAAGGAAUUCAAAAAAAGGGGAGGGAGUGGCAUGGUCAGGCUUCCCUUUUUUGCUCUAGUAAACUUCUAUUGAAGGAAAUUAUAUAUACAAAAAUGUGCCAGAAUCACAAAUGAAGACAUCUAUGUAACCAGUACCCCAGAAUCUUCCAUACAGCCCCUGGUAGUUAUUACCACCCUCCAAGGGUAAACAUCAUCUUAUCAUCCAAUUUCUUUUUUUUUUUUUUUGAGACAGAGUCUCGCUCUGUCACCCAGGCUAGAGUCGGCUUACUGCAACCUCCGUCCCCCAGGUUCAAGCGAUUCUCCUGCCUCAGCCUCCUGAGUAGCUGGGAUUACAGGCGCACUGUAAUUUUUGUAUUUUUAGUAGAGACGGGGUUUCACCAUGUUGGCCAGGCUGGUCUUGAACUCCUGACCUCGUGAUCCACCUGUCUCGGCCUCACAAAGUGCUGGGAUUACAGGCGUGAGCCACCGUGUCCGGCCUUAUUAUCCAAUAUCAAACUUUUUCUUCCUGUUAUUGAGUUAAAUAUAAACCAAAUAAUAUGCAUGUGAUAUUUUACAUCUGGAUUUAUUAAUUUUGCAAUAUAUUUGUAAGAUUUUAGAAAUAAUGAAUUAUUUUGUCUUUGUUUAUAUGGUAAUGUCUUUAUUUUACCUUCAUUCUUGAAGAAAGAUUUUCUGGAUAAUGGAACUCUUGGUUAACAGUUUUUUCAUUUGAUUGCUUUUUGCCCUCUAUUGUUUUAUAUGGGAAGCCAGCUGUUAACUGCAUUUUUGCCUCUUGUAGUAAUAAGUCAUUUUUCUCUUGCUUGUUUUUCUAUUUCUUUCUGUCUUCUGACUGCUUGCCUAUGAUUUGUCUAGGUGUGGAUCUCUACAUAUUUAUCCUACUUGAGGUUUAUUGAACAUUUUGGAUGUGUAUUUAAUUUUUUUUUAAGUCAAAUUCUGAAAGUUUUUGGCCACUGGUUUUUCCAUAUGUUUUCUGCUCCUUCCUUUUUAUUUUCUACUUCUGGUUUUCUCAUUAUACAUCUGUUGGCUUGAUGUUGUCCCACUGGCCCCUAUGGUUCUGUUCCUUUUACUUCAAACAUUUUUUUUCUCUGUCUUCCUCAGAUAGAUACUUUCUAUCACUCUAUCUUCGAGUUCAUUGAUCUCUUCCUCUGCCAUAUAUAAUCUGUUGUAAUAGAUCUUCACAGUAAAAUUGUAAUUUAUGCUUUUCAACACCAGAAUUUCCAUUUCUUUCUUUAUAAUUUCUAUCUCCUUAUUUAGAAUCUUUCUCUGUUGAUUGUUUAUUAUCAUAAUUUUAUUUACAAAUUUAAACAGUUCUUUGAGCAUAUUUAGAGUAGCUAUUUGAAAUCUUUGCUAAAUACAGAAUCUAGGAAAACUCAGAGACAAGUUCUACUAUCUGCUAUUUUCCUCAGUAUAUGUCACACUUUCCUGUUUCUUUGCAUAUCUUGUAAUUUUCUGUUGAAAACUGGGCAUUGAAAAUAUUGCAAUGGAUAUGUUAAUUGAUAUGUCAUGAAUAUGUUAAUUAUCUUGAUGUAGCUGUUCCAUAAUGUAUCAUUAUGUUGUACACCACUAAUAUAUACAGUUUUAUUUGCCAAUUAAAAAAAUUACAGCAACU